AGAAGGAAAACCCUCCUGUAAUGCGAAAUCACUGAGGAGAAGCAACCUUCCAGAUGGAAAUGCGCAGUGAUCCAAGGGCUGACUGGAAGGGCAGCAAGAAAUAAAAAGUGUCUUGUCACCUCCUCAUUCUCUUUGUAAAUACAGUGGGGUUGAUACUGCAGGAAGUAUACUAGGCUUAAUUAGAUUUCAGUCAUGAAUUAAAGUUGUCAUUUGGGGAAGUAUAUAAAAUACCUCCAAUACAAAAAAUAUUUUCAAAAUUAAUGAGAAUUUCUAAAAUGCCAACAGGACUGACAACACUGAGACAGGGUAGAAACCAACAUUAAGUUAGAGGGAUAGGUUCAAUCAUGGUUACAACAUACACAAGUAAAGCAAGAUGCAGAGAAGACAGAUCACAUCAAACAUUUGAAGACCACAAAAUCCUACCAACUGGAUUGGUGAAGCGGUAAAAUCUAUUGCAUUGUAAUUUAAACAGAAAUGAUUAACUGUAUAGGGAUGUUAAAUAUCUUUAGAGCACAAUGUCUUUUGCAUUUUUUGGGGGGGGCGACAUGAAUUUGUUCAAAUUUAUGUAACUGUAAAAGCAGGUACACUCCUUACAUCAGUUGACCAUAUGACAGCUGUCACCACCACCAAGGCUUUCUUAAAGGCUAGGUGAAAAUAGGGAGACAUUUAUCAUUUGUCCACUGGUCAUAAAACUUUUAUGAUUAUUAAGACCUUCACUAAUAAGAAUUGCUAUAAUUUAAAUGUUCUAGAUAUUGUAUUUUUUAUUGAAUUUUUACAACCUUUUUUGGCAUUUGAGUUUAUAUGUCCAUUUUGACUUUGAAGAUGACAAUGCUAUAAAAUGCACUGUAAGGUAAAAGGAUUUUUUUUUUUUUUUUUGAGAUAGAGUCUUGCUCUGUUGCCCAGGCUGGAGUGCAGUGGCACGAUAUUGGUUCACUGCAACCUCCGCCUCCCGGGUUCAAGCGAUUCUCCUGCCUCAGCCUCCCGAGUAGCUGAGAUUACAGGCGCCUGCCACCGAGCCUGGCUAAUUUUUGUAUUUUUAGUAGAGAUGGGUUUUCACUAUCUUGGCCAGGCUGGUCUUGAACUCUUGACCUCGUGAUCCACCCACCUCGGCCUCCCAAAGUGCUGGGAUUACAGGCGUGAGCCACCGCGCCCAGCCAAGGUAAAGUUCUUUAAAUGUUUUAAGAACAAGCAAUUUCAUAAGUCCUUCAGGAAUUUUAAAAUUACAUAUUAAAUAUUUUGGAAAUGUUCUCAUCCAAUUAAGUCAGAUGCUUACAAAGUUAAUCUAAUUGAUCAUUUAUUUAAAUUUAAUUUUACCUUCAUUAUUAUAAGGGUAUUUAGAAAUACUGAAGGACACUUAAAUGACACAUUACUAAUUCCUUCAGGUAGCUGUGGACAAUACUGAAGCAUGGAACUUUUGUGAAAGAAAAGAUGAAUUUGAUUAACAAGGGAGACUUUCAUAAGAGUUACAUUAAAAAGACUUAUUUGCACAAUCAGAUAAAAUACAAUGUACAUACAGGUAGGCCUAAAUGGGAAAAUGAAGCAUUACCAAGAAUGAUUUAUUAGAUUAAGAAAAGAAACAUAAAAAAGCAUUUCUUCACUUCUCUGAGAAGUGAAAUAAAGAAUGGAUUUGGUCAAAGUAAGAGAAGCUAGAGUAAUGAAACUAUAUUAACUGGAUUGUUUUAAAGUUCAAUUGGAGAACUGCCUGUUCGAAGGGCCUUUUCAUAGGAAACGAAGGGGACAUAAGGUCAGGCCUCAGAUAAAAAUGUGAGGAGGCAAGAUACAUAAUGUAGCCAGUUUUCCAUGUUCCAGCAUUUAAGGAUGACACUUUCUCAGCGGAAACUACUGUCCUCCCCUUUCCACCCAAGUGGUGCUGACUCCAAAAGGGGUGCAGGUAGAAGGGAAAUACAGGGAAUUAUAUCAAUUUAUUUGAAAACAGCAUAUCCUCUCAAUGGCACUAAAAUACUGAGUUUAUAAGAAAAAUAUAUAGAUUAUAUAGAUUUUCAUAGGCUGAUAAUGCCAAGAACCAAUGGAGACCUCAAAUUAAACACUUUCUGUGCAUGAAUUUUGGCAAAGAAUAUUUCAGAAAUAAUGGCAAAAAACUUAAAUAUUCAAUGUCAUAAAUACAGUCAUCAGUGUUUUGUCAACAACAAAAUGCACUUGUAUAUGUAAGCAAAGGCUGGUCCUGAGACUUAUAACAGGCCUUCCCUUUGGUAACAUCAAAAUCAACAUAAAACAGAGUUGGGCAACCUAACAGAAUAGAAAUAAGUACCUCUGAAGACAGAAAGAAAGAAAGAUGACUGUAUCGUGGUCUCGUUACUGGCUGCUUUAAAAAACUAGUGGAUUAAAAAGUUGUGAGAGGGAAUAGAAAAUUAGGAACUGCUUCUCAGAGGCACAGGCCAACCAAGAAAAUGUGGUGUUGGCAUUACAUAUAUUAGGUCUACCACUGUUUAAAUUUUCUUAAAAACACUGAAGAGCAUUUUAUAAAUUACUGGAUUAAAUAACCUGAAGAAAAAAGAAGGAAUGAGGCCUGAAGACACGUCCAAUUCACUGAAGAACUGGGGCAGCCAAGAGCUUGAAAAACUAAAAUUAAACACAACGGACUGUAUCAGCCACAGCUUGGGCAGACCGAUGGGCCCUGAAUUUCUACGUUCUUUAAAAUCAGGAUAUUAUUGCAGCUCAGGGUUUAGUUUUGGAAAGAUACCAGAUAAAUCUCAAGCAACAGUGUGAAAGAAAGGCAGAGUUCAGGCAACAUUUAUAUAAGAUCAGAUGAACCCCUGAUAUUCCUUCCAGGUCUUGAAUACAAUCUGUGAAAAUUCAGAGUUCAGGGGUAGAGAGUAGAUUGUGAGGAUUAAUGAAAAUGAAUAUUAGGUUUGAUUUUCACAUUAGAAAAGGGAGGUCAUAAUUACAUUAAAUGUUGGCAAAUGUGAAACAGGUGUUAAAACCCAGUCUCAAUUCAAUAAUUUGGGAGUUUAUAAAAUUCAAUGUUGUCAACUCCAAGAGGCAAGAAUAAUUUUGUUUGUCUCAGUGUGCUAAGAUAUGACAACAUAAGUAAAAGUUCACUAUUUCAUACUGUUGAUACAAGUAAAAAACUGGUACCAUAAAAAUGUAUACUUAUGAAAUGCACAAAUUGUUAAAUAGCUCUUCGGGGACUUUUCUUCAGGAUAUGAAAAAGGAGGGGGCAGAGUUGCUCUUUCCCUGGUAGAUAAGCAUACAAGUUAUGUUCAGGCAUAGGCCUUUGGGAUGACCAAAGUAAUCAGGAGGAAAAAGUCCUCAGAUAUAGCACUUUGUCAUUUUGAAACUUCAAAUUACAGUUAAAAAACAGGUUUCAGACUUUUUUUGAGGUAACUUGAGCUCCUGCAAUCAACAACCUUCUUCACCCCAUAAUGUAAAUGAGUAUCGAAAAAAAGGAAACAAAGUAAGCCCCGUCACACGGACAGUAAGAGAAAUUCUGAACUCCAGGUCUGUUCCAGGAUGAGAGCCAUGUCCAAGAUUCUGCAUUCUCUUCUUCCAACCACUCCUUUCAAGAACUCAAAAUGCCAGUCAGUGCAGGUAAAGGAAGAUGCACAUCCGCCGGUUGCCAAUUUCUGAAAUUUUCUUGUUACUUCUACGAUACAGACAAGUGAUGCCUUCUCAACUUCGUCCAGGUUUCUUCCAAUCUCCGAACACGGUGACUCCGAAUCCUCUUGCCACUCCCUUCUCCAGGGACCUACCUAGGCAGCACUCCCAGCCCCUGCCAGCUCUGGAAGCUGCAGAGAUCCCGACAGUCGGGGAUGGGGAUUGAAUCCUCUCAUUGCAGUGCAAUUAAGCGGAACCACGACCACCGCACAGAUUGGCUGACAACACACAUUCCAUAAGACCAGCAAUCGAAUUUUGAGAAGCCUUGUCCAAUCAACAGGCUUUAUUUGGGAUUCAGUUUUUUACUUUGUUCUAUUAGGAGGAAAUAUAAUCAGCCACCAGCUUAGCCCUCCAAAAGAGGGGACAGAGAUGUUUCUCCGCUUUUGCACGCUAUAAAGUGAAUCUACAAGUAGUAGUUGGUGGAGGGAAAAUGGGCCUGCAUGGAGAAGGCGCCCACCACGAAGGCACGGCCAAGCCGGGUUGCACGCAAGAAACACACAAAAUACCAGAAGAGAACCAGGCUGAGAGAAGUUAAGUGACGUGCCCAAGGAUACACAGCUCUCUGCAUGUGACACGCUGACUCCCCUUCUGCCAUGAUUGUAAGUUUCGUCACUAGAAGCAGAUGCCGACACUAUGCUUCAUGUACAGCCUGCAGAACUGUGAGCCAAGAACUAUGUACUGAAGAUUUGGGGGCAAAAGAGGACCACAUCUGCAACUAACUGGAGAUGGUUCAGAAGAUGAUGCACACACACUCAAGCAUAUCGAGAGAGAAAGGGGCAGAGGACACAGAAGGCCCUGAGUUUAAUGUGCAUGUUUUGGGGAAUUUGGAAGAAGAGCCCCUGAUAAUUCAUCCUUCAUUAUUCUUGCAACUUUUCUCUAAAUCUGAAAUUAUAUUAAAAUAUAAAGUUAGAAGAAAACA
This 4534-nucleotide long non-coding RNA is filed under the name Homo sapiens (human). Its description in RNAcentral is "HSALNT0405928". Lineage: Eukaryota; Metazoa; Chordata; Mammalia; Primates; Hominidae. The record is from RNAcentral.